RNAcentral lists this unclassified non-coding RNA (1407 nucleotides) under Hevea brasiliensis (rubber tree). The record is from RNAcentral. Lineage: Eukaryota; Viridiplantae; Streptophyta; Magnoliopsida; Malpighiales; Euphorbiaceae.
GCACAUGGCGGGACUAUAGAUCAGUGACACAGGCUUGGUGCAUUGAGCACAGGUAAAGUGUCUUGCCCAUGAACUUCAUGUUUGAAUUCUCCACAGAACUUGGAACACAACUGACAAGAGGCAAAGACGCUAGCCCAAAUGGAUAUUUUGAUUGGGUUAUUACCAUUCCUAAGGAACAAACAAUAACCAACUAUUGUGAGAAUGCAUUGACCAAAUGCACAAACCAAUGCAGCAAUGUCCAUGACAGAACCCAGACGAAUGCCGCUUUGAGAAGGAUAAUAAAACCAAGGUAUUGUGCCACACCACCGCCAAGUAGCUCGUUCUUUCUGAGCUUUAUACGCAAGCUCGAAGGUGCAAAUAAACAGAGCUAGGAAAGACAUCCCCACGCAUAUUGGCAGAAAAAGAGAGUAAUGCUGGGAGGAAAGCUGCUCGAAAACUAUUGACAAGAGCUCAACAAUGAAGUUGGCAAUAGCAAACAUCCACUCGAGAGCCUUCCUUUUCAAAUUCUGUGUUCUGCAGCAUGUCCUGCAAAUGCCAUUGCCAUGUUCAACAUCCAUGCAGCCGAAAUGAUCAGUCUCAGGUGAAUGAGGUGGUGGGGAAGCAAGACAAGACUGGAUUUCAUUGUCCUCAAUUUGACCCCUUGAAUCCCUGCUGUCCACAUCGUAAGAGCCUGAGUUGGGCUGGAUAUGCUCUUCACUUUCCCUGUGGCUAUUGCCAAAGGGGCUCUCUCUUGAGAAACGAGUUCUUGGUCUGCGGAAUGUGUGCUCUUCCUUGGUCAAAUUCUUCAUCUGCACAUUGAUCUGCACCAGAUCCGUCUCAGAAUCACUUAAGCUAAAAUUGAUGUCAGCUUCAACACCCUUGAAUUUGAUAGAUGUUCGAUCAUAGGCUCUGGCUGCUGCAGCAUGGGCUGUAUCGAAUUCACCUAGGUGGACUAGUUUCCCUUCAUCCCAGCUAUGAGAUUCCCAUCUCUCAGUCCUUCUGUAGAAGGUAACUCCUCUGUUCUGUGAGCUCUUAGACCUAGGUCCCCUCCUCCUCCUGGUAUUUCCCUGUACCUCUCCGCCGCUAAUCUCCUGUCCAAUUUCAAACGAGAGAUUCUCUUGCCCUGCUUGCACCUGAUAAUUCCCAAAAUCCUUGCCCACUUCCCUUCCAUUGCUUCCCAGAGAAAGUUCAUUAGUCACCGGUGCGUCGUUUUCAUUUUCAAUUCCAUUCCCGCCACCUCCUACUUCUACUAUAUCAUCAACAACCUUGUUAUUGUCAUUAGCAGCAUCUCUGAGCAGACUGACGAUUGAUGAGUCAGAGUUUCCCAACCUUUCCCCCUCCUUCUGUUCCGAGUUCUGAGUUGACUCCACCGAUUCCGCAUUCAGAGUAACGUCAGACAUAGAACCUACUUCCUCUCAAGAAUUUCUC